This 777-nucleotide unclassified non-coding RNA is filed under the name Athalia rosae (coleseed sawfly). RNAcentral's name for it is "misc RNA ENSAEAG00005006100.1". The record is from RNAcentral. Lineage: Eukaryota; Metazoa; Arthropoda; Insecta; Hymenoptera; Athaliidae.
AGUCCGUCGAUCCGCCGAUUGGUCGAUUAGCUCGGCCCUUUGCUGCGUAAAACCGGAGGAUCCGAAAACUAUCGGGAGACUAAAUUCGCCACCACGUGGCUCUGAGGAAUUCGAUUGAUUCAGUUUCGCGUGGACGGGCCGUACGACGAGUUCUGUGCACCGAGUUUCGCGUCGUUCUUGAGGUUCGUACGUAAAAGUUGAAAGUUGAGAAAAUCGGCGUCCGGUUAACGGCCGCCAGUGAACGUGAUAAAGUGAUAAAACGUUGCUGAAAAUUUAAUCGCGACAUACCAUCGUUGUAAAGUGGUGAAAGUGUGGAUAAUAUACCUCGGCGGUCACAUUCGAAGCGUGACCACGGUGAAGCGUUUAGUGUAUUUUUUUUGGUGGUUAACGAACGGCCUCAAGAUUCAGCUCGAUAUUAUGCCCUGGUUCAUUUUAUUUCUGCUCCUGCUAGCUGUGAUGGAGGUUUUCCCGAGGGAGGCUACCUGUUCGAAACUUCCGGACAUACACUGGAACGCCACCAAUCCAAUGUGAGUAAACUUUCGUUAUCGCUAACAAUAAGAUCAUCGUUCUCCGAAAUCGACCAAUGGGAGGGUCGAUAUCGCCCCAACUGACUUUGAAACGACCUAUACUUUUUGCGGAUAUCCCGCCAUCUACAUGUCAUUCGAUUAACCUAACGCGGGAUACACGUGAGAGCGUAUGUUUUCUGUAUCCCCGCAUUUCUGGAUGAGCUUUUCCUCAUAUCGUCGUCGGUCCGGAUAUUCCGGAUCUGGUGUUGCA